GCGCCCGUAGCUCAGCAGGAUAGAGCGUCGGUUUCCUAAACCGCAGGUCGCACGUUCGAAUCGUGUCGGGCGUACCA
Molecule: transfer RNA, 77 nt
Filed under: Ruminiclostridium cellulolyticum H10
Lineage: Bacteria; Bacillati; Bacillota; Clostridia; Eubacteriales; Oscillospiraceae
Also listed under: 6 other names
Description: tRNA-Arg (CCT) (tRNA-Arg-CCT-1-1)
Rfam family: tRNA
About the family: Transfer RNA (tRNA) molecules are approximately 80 nucleotides in length. Their secondary structure includes four short double-helical elements and three loops (D, anti-codon, and T loops). Further hydrogen bonds mediate the characteristic L-shaped molecular structure. tRNAs have two regions of fundamental functional importance: the anti-codon, which is responsible for specific mRNA codon recognition, and the 3' end, to which the tRNAs corresponding amino acid is attached (by aminoacyl-tRNA synthetases). tRNAs cope with the degeneracy of the genetic code in two manners: having more than one tRNA (with a specific anti-codon) for a particular amino acid; and 'wobble' base-pairing, i.e. permitting non-standard base-pairing at the 3rd anti-codon position.
Source: RNAcentral